This 468-nucleotide ribosomal RNA is filed under the name uncultured bacterium. Its description in RNAcentral is "partial 16S ribosomal RNA". It matches the Rfam family "Bacterial small subunit ribosomal RNA", at positions 28 to 507 of the family's 1533-position model. The record is from RNAcentral.
GACGAACGCUGGCGGCGUGCUUAACACAUGCAAGUCGAACGGAAAGGCCCUGCUUUUGUGGGGUGCUCGAGUGGCGAACGGGUGAGUAACACGUGAGUAACCUGCCCUUGACUUUGUGAUAACUUCAGGAAACUGGGGCUAAUACCGGAUAGGAGCUCCUGCUGCAUGGUGGGGGUUGGAAAGGUUCGGCGGUUGGGGAUGGACUCGCGGCUUAUCAGCUUGUGGGUGGGGUAGUGGCUUACCAAGGCUUUGACGGGUAGCCGGCCUGAGCGGGUGACCGGCCUCAAUGGGACUGGGAAACGCGCCAGACUCCUACGGGCGGCAGGAGUGGGGAACAUUGCACACUGGCCGGAAGCCUGAUGCAGGAAUGCGGCGUGGGGGAUGACGGCCUUCGGGUUGUAAACCGCUUUCGCCUGUGACGAAGCGUGGGUGACGGUAAUGGGUAAAGCAGCACCGGCUAACUACGUG